GAUGAACGCUGGCGGCGUGCCUAAUACAUGCAAGUCGAGCGAACAGACGAGGAGCUUGCUCCUCUGACGUUAGCGGCGGACGGGUGAGUAACACGUGGAUAACCUACCUAUAAGACUGGGAUAACUUCGGGAAACCGGAGCUAAUACCGGAUAAUAUAUUGAACCGCAUGGUUCAAUAGUGAAAGACGGUUUUGCUGUCACUUAUAGAUGGAUCCGCGCCGCAUUAGCUAGUUGGUAAGGUAACGGCUUACCAAGGCGACGAUGCGUAGCCGACCUGAGAGGGUGAUCGGCCACACUAGAACUGAGACACGGUCCAGACUCCUACGGGAGGCAGCAGAAGGGAAUCUGCCGCAAUGGGCGAAAGCCUGACGGAGCAACGCCGCGUGAGUGAUGAAGGUCUUCGGAUCGUAAAACUCUGUUAUUAGGGAAGAACAAAUGUGUAAGUAACUAUGCACGUCUUGACGGUACCUAAUCAGAAAGCCACGGCUAACUACGUG
This 497-nucleotide ribosomal RNA is filed under the name uncultured bacterium. Its description in RNAcentral is "partial 16S ribosomal RNA". It matches the Rfam family "Bacterial small subunit ribosomal RNA", at positions 28 to 507 of the family's 1533-position model. The record is from RNAcentral.